This 438-nucleotide ribosomal RNA is filed under the name Triticum aestivum (bread wheat). RNAcentral's name for it is "partial small subunit ribosomal RNA". The record is from RNAcentral. Lineage: Eukaryota; Viridiplantae; Streptophyta; Magnoliopsida; Poales; Poaceae.
AUGGCUGAGUCGGAGCUCAGGAAAGGACUGAAGACCAAGCUUCUUGGCCUUGAUGUGAUCGAGCCUUGCAGGAAGAGGCAGGCCUCCCGCCUCACCUGGCUGCGCGUGGGCGACACCCCAACGAAGUUCUUCAUGGCCAAGAUCAGCUCUAGAAGGCACAAAAACUUCAUACAUGCCCUAAAGGUCGGAGAAGAUGUUUUGACGGCACAUGCUGAGAAGGAAAAGGCAAUCCACGACCAUUUCAACAGUAUUUUGGGCACCCCUCAGCACCGACCCACGACCAUCAACUGGGCUCAGCUCCACAUGCCAACGAUCCAGAGAGGAGGACUGGACAACCCUUUCAUAGAAGAGGAGGUCUGGGCUGCGAUCAGGGCCUCGCCAGCUGAAAAAUCGCCAGGGCCGGACAGUUUCCGUGGCGUGUUCUUUAGAUCACGUUGA